RNAcentral lists this ribosomal RNA (484 nucleotides) under uncultured bacterium. RNAcentral describes it as "partial 16S ribosomal RNA". It matches the Rfam family "Bacterial small subunit ribosomal RNA", at positions 30 to 505 of the family's 1533-position model. The record is from RNAcentral.
AUUGAACGCUGGCGGCAUGCCUUACACAUGCAAGUCGAACGGCAGCACGGGUGCUUGCACCUGGUGGCGAGUGGCGAACGGGUGAGUAAUACAUCGGAACAUGUCCUGUAGUGGGGGAUAGCCCGGCGAAAGCCGGAUUAAUACCGCAUACGAUCUACGGAUGAAAGCGGGGGACCUUCGGGCCUCGCGCUAUAGGGUUGGCCGAUGGCUGAUUAGCUAGUUGGCGGGGUAAAGGCCUACCAAGGCGACGAUCAGUAGCUGGUCUGAGAGGACGACCAGCCACACUGGGACUGAGACACGGCCCAGACUCCUACGGGAGGCAGCAGUGGGGAAUUUUGGACAAUGGGCGAAAGCCUGAUCCAGCAAUGCCGCGUGUGUGAAGAAGGCCUUCGGGUUGUAAAGCACUUUUGUCCGGAAAGAAAUCCUUGGCUCUAAUACAGUCGGGGGAUGACGGUACCGGAAGAAUAAGCACCGGCUAACUACG